GUGGUGGCCAUGCCUUACCCAGGUAGAGGCCACGUCAACCCCAUGAUGAACCUCUGCAAGUUACUAGCUUCAAGACAAGAUGAUAUCCUCAUCACCUUCGUUCUCACUGAAGAAUGGCUCGAUUUGAUCAGCUCCGAGGAUAAGCCGGAAAACGUACGCUUCGCAACGAUCCCCAAUGUGAUUCCUUCGGAGCAAGUUCGCGCGGCGGACUUCCCCGGCUUCGUCGAAGAUGUCUCGACGAAAAUGGAAGCUCCUUUCGAGCAGCUCCUGGAUCGGCUUGAGCCGCCAGUUACUGCUCUCAUAGCUGAUACUCAUGUAAUGUGCGCCUUCGUCGUCGGGAACCGGAGGAAUAUCCCAGCGGCGUCGUUGUGGCCGAUGUCGGCGACGAUGUUUUCGGUGUUCCACCAUUUUGAUCUGCUCAUUCAAAACCAACAUUACCCAGUUGAUUUGUCAGUUAUUACAAAACGAGAAGGUCUCAAAUCUCAAAUCUCGUUAUAUAGAUUCUCCAUUUACUGAUGAACAAGUGUGGAUGUGACAGAAAGGGGCGAGGAGCGAGUGGGCUACAUUCCUGGAAUUUCUUCAACGCGCAUAUCUGAUCUUCCGACAGUCUUCUCCGGCGACGGCCAGAGAGUCUUGAAUCGGAUUCUGGAAAUGUGCUCUUGGGUGCCUAAAGCGCAGUAUCUUGUGUUCACUUCUGUGUACGAGCUUGAACACGAGGCGUUGGAUGCUUUGAAGCGAAAGUUUUCGUUUCCCGUCUACACACUUGGUCCUACUAUACCUUACUUCAAUCUGGGAGACGAGUCCAAAGUUGCCACCACUCACAGUGACCUUAACUACAUGAAAUGGCUGGAUUCUCAGCCGAAGGCUUCCGUCUUGUACAUCUCACUGGGAAGUUUUCUUUCUGUUUCGAGUGCCCAAAUGGAUGAGAUUGCAGCCGGGUUGCGGAGCAGUGGCGUCCGGUUCUUGUGGGUGGGGCGUGAUAAAGCUUCCCAGUUGCAGGAGGGUUGUGGGGAUGGAGGAUUGGUGGUGCCUUGGUGUGACCAACUGAAGGUGCUGUCCCAUUCUUCUGUAGGGGGGUUUUGGAGUCAUUGCGGGUGGAAUUCAACUCUGGAAGCUGUUUUUGCAGGCGUCCCAAUGCUGACAUUUCCUAUAUUUUGGGACCAAGUCCCCAACAGUAAGAAAAUUGUGGAGGAUUGGAAGAUUGGGUGGAGAGUGAAGAGGGAGGUGGGAUGGCAAAAUUUGGUGACCAGAGAAGAGAUUAGUGGGCUUGUGAAGAGGUUUAUGGAUUUGGAAAGCAUUGAGGUGAAAGAGAUGAGGAAAAGAGCAAAAGACCUUGAGGAGGUAUGUAGAGGAGCAAUAGCAAAAGGUGGUUCAACUGAUACUAAUCUUGAUGCCUUUCUCUCGCACAUUUCACAAUCCCGCCGCCGCUGAUCACACAGCUCUGAAUUUGGCCUUCGGAGGUGAAAUUUUGUUUUCACGUUGAAGGCCACACAAAAAUUUGAUUUCUGUGUGGAUUUUCUCUUCGGUUUCCUCUUGGAAUUAAAAUAAAAUUGCCAUGGAUUAUGGAUUAUGGAUUAUCUUGAGGAAUUUUUUUUAUAUUCUAGAAAAAGGGGAAAUAGGCAAACCCCACCUUAGUAGUCUUAACUCUUACGCAAGGGUUUGGAGUCUGGACGACCCAAUUCAAUUGGGGAAAAGCUGACUAUGCAUGCUGUACUCUAUUGGGCCAAGUUGGUUGUCCCAUGUGGCCCCACUGGACUAUUAUUAUAUUGACUGGCAAUAUUUAGUGGCCAUGUGAAUGAAUGUUUUUGUUGUGGGAUAAUUUUUGGGUGUCAUACUGAAAAGUAGUCACCAAUCAUUGUACCUUAGCCUAUAUUCAAAUCUGUACUUGGAUCAUGAAGUUCUGUAUAUCACCUAUUGGGAGCAGAAGCAUUUUCCUUUGGUCCAUGUUACAUCUUUAGCCUGUGAAAAAAUUGACUUUAACCAUACUAAAUUUUGCUUUGUUAUAAUCAUAAAACACAUGAAAACUUGUUGAAAGGAAAACUAUUGGCAGGCCCCAACCCACAUGAAUUGGGCUUUGUUGGACCUGAAUUUCUCAUCUCAUUGUUUUGGUGGUGAUAUCAAGCCCCACGUUUACAAAUUGGCCCCCAACUUGUGGGCUCGGUCUAGCCCAAAGCUAUUACGCUGAUGAGUUAGGGUAUUUCUCAUGUGCUGUAAAGCUCUCUUCUCGUCACUUUAGGCGACAGUCGAACAAAAUAAGCGAUACCAUCUUUUCCAUAAGUUGAGUUUAUUAAUGAGCAACUUGCAAAAAUUUUAAUUUUCAAUUAAAUUAAGAGAAAAUUAAUAUAAAUGAUUAAAUAUAAUUUUCUAAUAAAAAAUAUAUUUUAUUUUUAUUUUAUAUAAAUACAAAAUUAAAAGUUUUAAUAAAGUAAAAUAUUAGAAUCACAACCAAGUUUUUAUAUAUUUUUUAAAUUAAAAAUAUUAAAAAUUUUAAUUUUAAAAAAUUACAAUUACAUUAAAGUAAUCAUAAGUAAAAAGUUUAAAAAUUAGGAUAAUUGAUUUUAAUUUUCACAUGAAAUUUUUUAUAAAAAAUAUAAGCAAUAAAAUAAUAUAAUAAAUAUAUUUUUAUUUAAUUAGUAUAUGAUAAAUAUUUUAUUUAAUAUGAAUAUAUAAAAUCUUAUGUUUUAAAUUUCCAAAAUUAUUUAUUAUAUAUUAAUGUUUAUUUAUUUAUUAUUAUUAUUUUAUAUUUAAAGUGUAUAUUAAUAAUUAAAAUCAAUAAAUAUGAAAAGAUCAAAUGGUAAACGAGAAUAAAUUUUUUUUAAAAUGUAUUAUUUUCUAGGUAAAAUGAAGAAAGAGGAAAAAUAAUGUCACAUGGUUAGUAAUGUGUGAAACAAGUACGUAUGAUGGAGUUUUUUUUUGACUUAUUAUUUUAAGGUUUUAAAAAAAUAAAAACAUAUGGAAUAGUCGGGUAACAGAGAGAAAAGUAGGAGGAGAAUUUUAAAAUUUGAAUGAUGUUAUAUGUUUAUUGAAUUAUUUUGUAAUAAUUCUAUUUUUGGAUAACGUACCGUUACCAUUACAUGAUUCACCCUUUUAAGUUUGGUUGGAGUGCGAAGAACCGUCAUCACCUUCAUUGUUUACUGGACCCACCUUCGGGAUGUGGGCUUUGUUGGGCUAGAUAUCUCAUUCGGUUAUUCAGCCCAACACUCCACACAUUAAGAGACGUGGUGAAACAGCAGUCUGAAAGCUUUUUCGGCUGGUCUGUGCCGCACAAGUAGCCAUCAAAUGAAGGAAUUCUAUCUGAAAUUGAACUGCGUGGAAACUCAGGAAAAAAGGGAAAAAGAAAGAGCCAUCAAGGUGGUGGCUGCGGGGACUUUUCUUAUUUCAGUGUCUUCCACAGAAGAAGCCUGGUAUGGACUCCGGCGACGGCGAAGCAACCACUGCAUGCCACGUGGUGGCCAUGCCAUACCCAGGUAGAGGCCACGUCAACCCCAUGAUGAACCUCUGCAAGCUACUAGCUUCAAAAAAGGACGAUAUCCUCAUCACCUUCGUUCUCACUGAGGAGUGGCUCGGCUUGCUCGGUUCCGGUGAUAAGCCGGAUCAGGUGCGGUUCGAAACGAUCCCUAAUGUGAUCCCUUCGGAGCGAGUUCGCGCAGCUGACUUCCCUGGCUUCAUCGAAGCCGUGUCAACGAAGAUGGAAGCCCCUUUCGAGCAGCUCCUGGAUCGGCUGGAGCCGCAGGUGACUACUAUUAUAGCCGAUAGUAACCUGCUGUGGCU
RNAcentral lists this long non-coding RNA (3771 nucleotides) under Vitis vinifera (wine grape). Its description in RNAcentral is "long non-coding RNA (VVIN_LNC001771)". Lineage: Eukaryota; Viridiplantae; Streptophyta; Magnoliopsida; Vitales; Vitaceae. The record is from RNAcentral.